AGUGAUGCCAAGUCACAGCACCACGAGUGGCUGGUUUUGAAUUGCUGAACAGAAGAAUGGAGUUAAUGAAUGCAUUCUAUCAGACACAGGAAGCAUGACAGGCUGCAAUCCCAGCACUGAGAAAGCCCUGAGACUUGAGGUGACAAUCCAUAGAAAGCUUUUCUGGAAGAACAACUGAGCAAUCACAUCUGCCCAUUUACCAAACAGAGAUGAAGGCACUGAGGGACACUGAAAUGCCCUCUGUGAGCAGGAGCACUCUCACAGCCUCUCCCUGCUCUCCUCAAACACAGCAGG
Long non-coding RNA from Passer domesticus (house sparrow), 294 nucleotides. RefSeq lists it as uncharacterized. The record is from RefSeq and is a predicted model, not a curated record. Lineage: Eukaryota; Metazoa; Chordata; Aves; Passeriformes; Passeridae. The transcript is spliced from 3 exons.